Molecule: long non-coding RNA, 749 nt
Organism: Fukomys damarensis (Damara mole-rat)
Lineage: Eukaryota; Metazoa; Chordata; Mammalia; Rodentia; Bathyergidae
Exons: 3
Source: RefSeq, a predicted model, not a curated record
CGGGCACGCGGAGGAUCUGGGACAGCGGAUUCCGGCCGCUCCCUUCCGGUUCGGCGGUGCGACCUCUGCGGAGACCUCGGUCUCCAUGGCGACCCCGCCAGUGUCCCCCAACAGGAAGCCUCGGAGGGCGGAAACGGGGUCCUGAGGUCACAUGCGCUGCGCAGACGUCCUCGCACGGGGGCUGCCGGCCCUCUCCCACGCCCCCCUCGGAACCUAGGAACGGCCUCAGUUUCCCCACAGAGGACAGGGGCUCCUGCGCCCGCUCUCCUCUCUGCUGUCCUGAGCUGCUGCCUCAGUUUCCCCCGCGGAGGAGCGGUCAGCAGCCGGGGAGGUCCACGUGUCAGGCGUCCACGGCGACCUGAAGGUGCUUGCGUCGCCCCCGAAAGCCACGCUAGCUCAGGGAGGCUCCAUCCAGGUGAACUGCAGUUUCUCGGGCUGUGACCUCAAGGAUUUUGUGCUGGGCCUAGAGACCGACUUCUCCAAAGUCUUGGUCGACUCCGGAACCAACUGGAAGCUGUUCAGUCUGAGUGACAUUAACAGAGACAGCAAUCCCAUCUGCUACCUGAGCUGCGGCUCUGGGCGUCAGACGACCGAUGUGGUCUCCCUCACGGUUUAUGUGCUUCCGGAGGAGGUGGAGCUGGGCCCCCUGCCGUCCUGGCAGCCAGUGGGCGAGAACCUCACCCUGCGCUGCCUCGUGGUGGGUGGGGCGCCCCGGAACCGGCUCACGGCGGUGCUGCUCCGGGACCAGG